CCUACGGGGCGCAGCAGUGAGGAAUAUUGGUCAAUGGGCGCGAGCCUGAACCAGCCAAGUAGCGUGAAGGAUGACUGCCCUACGGGUUGUAAACUUCUUUUAUAAAGGAAUAAAACGAGGCACGUGUGCCUUUUUGCAUGUACUUUAUGAAUAAGGAUCGGCUAACUCCGUGCCAGCAGCCGCGGUAAUACGGAGGAUCCGAGCGUUAUCCGGAUUUAUUGGGUUUAAAGGGAGCGUAGAUGGGUUGUUAAGUCAGUUGUGAAAGUUUGCGGCUCAACCGUAAAAAUGCAAUUGAUACUGGGAGACUUGAGUGCAGGUGAGGUAGGCGGAAUUCGUGGUGUAGCGGUGAAAUGCUUAGAUAUCACGAAGAACCCCGAUGGCGAAGGCAGCUUACUAAACUGUGACUGACAUUGAUGCUCGAAAGUGUGGGUAGCAAACAGGAUUAGAUACCCGUGUAGUC
RNAcentral lists this ribosomal RNA (460 nucleotides) under uncultured bacterium. RNAcentral's name for it is "partial 16S ribosomal RNA". It matches the Rfam family "Bacterial small subunit ribosomal RNA", at positions 338 to 795 of the family's 1533-position model. The record is from RNAcentral.